RNAcentral lists this ribosomal RNA (253 nucleotides) under uncultured bacterium. Its description in RNAcentral is "partial 16S ribosomal RNA". It matches the Rfam family "Bacterial small subunit ribosomal RNA", at positions 524 to 776 of the family's 1533-position model. The record is from RNAcentral.
UACGUAGGGGGCUAGCGUUGUCCGGAAUCAUUGGGCGUAAAGAGCGUGUAGGCGGUCCGGUAAGUCCGCUGUGAAAGUCGGGGGCUCAACCCUCGAAUGCCGGUGGAUACUGUCGGGCUAGAGUGCGGAAGAGGCGAGUGGAAUUCCUGGUGUAGCGGUGAAAUGCGCAGAUAUCAGGAGGAACACCAAUGGCGAAGGCAGAUCUCUGGGCCGUAACUGACGCUGAGGAGCGAAAGCAUGGGGAGCGAACAGG